AGUUGAUCAUGGCUCAGGAUGAACGCUAGCUACAGGCUUAACACAUGCAAGUCGAGGGGCAGCAGGGCAAUAGCUUGCUAUGUGCUGGCGACCGGCGCACGGGUGAGUAACGCGUAUCCAACCUACCCCGCGGUCAGGGACAGCCCGGCGAAAGUCGGAUUAAUACCUGAUGCAGUCAGAAGAGGGCAUCUGAUUUUGACGAAAGAUUGAUCGCCUCGGGAUGGGGAUGCGUAGGAUUAGGCAGGCGGCGGGGUAACGGCCACCGCGCCGACGAUCCUUAGGGGUUCUGAGAGGAAGGUCCCCCACACUGGUACUGAGACACGGACCAGACUCCUACGGGAGGCAGCAGUGAGGAAUAUUGGUCAAUGGGCGGUAGCCUGAACCAGCCAAGUAGCGUGCAGGACGACGGCCCUAUGGGUUGUAAACUGCUUUUAUGCGGGGAUAAAGUGCGGCACGUGUGCCGUUUUGUAGGUACCGCAUGAAUAAGGACCGGCUAAUUCCGUGCCAGCCGCCGC
This 515-nucleotide ribosomal RNA is filed under the name uncultured bacterium. RNAcentral describes it as "bacterial SSU rRNA". It matches the Rfam family "Bacterial small subunit ribosomal RNA", at positions 10 to 518 of the family's 1533-position model. The record is from RNAcentral.